GUAUCGUAAAUUUUUGUUUGAAAAUGUAUGAAUCACGAUGAUCAUAGAAGGCAUUUGUUUUUGUGCAUAGUAUGCCAAAAUAUAAAGUACAACAUACACAACCACAUCAAAUUCUAGAUAUUAAUUAAUCCUUCCAGUUGAGAAACGUUUAGGAGUUCCUGAAGAGCUAAGCUAAACAGAUUGACUCCAUUCCAGUUAAAACUUCAAGCUCCUGACCAACAACCUAUCACAAGGAAACACAUAUAUACGAUAGUACAAAAGGCGGUUUCAGACAGUAUGACGAAAUAAGCGUAAACUUGUGUACAACAAAGCAUAAAAGUCUGUUGACGUCAUAUUGAAUGGAUCAGAUGGUGCGUCUGAGACAUCUUGUGGGCUGGUCGGGUGAGGGUCAGGGCUUUCCCUAGUUUGCUUUAUAGUUUGUUACUAGAAUUGUUAUAGUCUGUUUGAUUUAUACUUGAUACAAUUUCUUUUGGAGGUAAGAAGAUCAAGGCCAUGAAGGAAGAUAGGUGUACAUAAAUUAUUUUAGCACAACAUCAAACUGUUCCACGACAGGAAAACAAAUUAGCAGAAAAAUUGGAUUGGUAGCAGAUGGACACUGUUCCAACUGCCACCUAAAUGGUAUAAUUGAUUAGUCUUAUAGGCUUGUAGCAGAGAGGGAGCAGGCAAGGUACUCCCUUCUUAGCUUUAGUUAUUCAACGAUGCUACACAAAUUUUCAUUCAGAAUUACAGGUAAUUGAAUGAUGCCCCCGGAAUACCAAAUAGAUGCAGAAAAUCUAGUUUCUGCAAUCAGGCAAGAAAAAAACAGUGAACACAAUAUGAAUUACCCGUAUUGUUUGUUAUGCAACCAACAAUGCCAUAAUCCAAUGACAUGUGUCCAUUAGUUCGUCAUACUCAUUAAUCAUUGCCCUAUUGGAAAAUGAGGCUAUGUUCUUCCAGAAACUGCCUUGAAGAGUUCUAGCGCAACAACAUACCAGCCUCCAGGCGAUGCGCAGCCAUCCGAUUGUCCCUGGAAUAGACCUACUCGCGGGGGGUUGCAAAGCGACGCGAAUCCGGGCGCCGCCUGGCCACAGGCGGGGUGCAGUCGCGUGCUCACCAGAUCCGGCUACCGCCGUCCUUCUCCUUACCUUCCACUGCAGGCGUCGGAGGAGGGGGCAAUAGAGGCCUGGCGGAGAGGCAGGGCAGAGGGAUACGACCAAAGGCGGUGGGGAAAGGGUGGUCGACUUCACUAGGGCACUCACGCGUGGCAGCCAUAGGGGCAGCAGAUGAUGUGCGGGUUGCAGAGCGGUAUGAGGCGACGGGGGGGGGGGGGGGGGGGGGGGGGGGGCACGACUGGUAGCGGAGGCCGAGCGGUGCAGGGAGACGACAGCAAGAGGCGUGGGGCGAUGGUGAUGAUGGAUUCUGAUGGACAAGCACGGUUUAGGUUUUUGCGUGGGGG
RNAcentral lists this long non-coding RNA (1435 nucleotides) under Zea mays. Its description in RNAcentral is "long non-coding RNA (ZMAY_LNC004085)". The record is from RNAcentral. Lineage: Eukaryota; Viridiplantae; Streptophyta; Magnoliopsida; Poales; Poaceae.